Oryctolagus cuniculus (rabbit) is the source of this 1646-nucleotide non-coding RNA. Lineage: Eukaryota; Metazoa; Chordata; Mammalia; Lagomorpha; Leporidae. The record is from RefSeq and is a predicted model, not a curated record.
CAGAGAGAAAGGUCUUCCUUUUGCCUUUGGUUCACCCUCCAAUGGCCACUGCAGCCGGUGCACUGCACUGAUCCGAAGGCAGCAGCCAGGAGCCAGGAGCCAGGUGCUUCUCCUGGUCUCCCAUGGGGUACAGGGCCCAAGCACCUGGGCCAUCCUCCACUGCACUCCCCGGCCAUAGCAGAGAGCUGGCCUAGAAGAGGAGCAACCGGGACAGAAUCCAGCACCCCGACCGGGACUAGAACCCGGUAUGCCGGCGCCUCAAGGCAGAGGAUUAGCCUACUGAGCCGCGGCGCCGGCCUGUGUUUUUAACUUCUGUUUUUGAAAGUUCCACCUGCACAGAAGUGGAGAAAAUAGUAGAACAGGCCACCAUGUACUCAUAAAAUAGCAUUACAAUCAUCAACCCAUGUUCAAUAUUCACUCACUCCCCAUCCAUUCCCACCCUGCUGGAUUAUUUUGAAAAAUUCUAGAUAAUAAAUCUUUUAGACUAUAAAUAUUUCACAGUAUGUCUCUAAAAGAUAACAUUUAGACAUUUUUUUUACCACAAUACCAUUAGCACACCUGCAAAACUGAAAAUUUUCUUAGUGUCAUCAAAUACCAAAUAUAACAAUUUCUCCAAUAAACAAUCUGUUUGAAUGUGAAUCCAAAUAACAUUCUGAAAUAGCUAAUUUUAUGUGUCAGCUUUACUGGGUGAUGGGAUACCCACACAGCCAGAAACAGUAUUUCUGGGUCAGUUUGGGAGGGCAUUUUCCGAAGAGAUUAGCACUUGAAACAGUAAACUGAGUAAAGAAGAUCCUCCCAAAUCAAUGUUGUUGGGUCCGAUUUGUUGAGGGCCUGGACGGAACAAAAGUCAAAGGAAGGGGGAAUCCUGUCUCCUGGAGCUGAGGCAUCCAUUUUUCCCUGCCUUGGGACAUCUUAGCUCCAGGUUCUUAAGGCCUCCAGAAUACGGGACUUAGCAUCAACAGCUCUGAGGACUCUCAGAUUCUUGGGCUCUAGACUUAGACUGAAUUACACAAUCUACUUUACUGGAGAACUGCAUGUACAUCAUGUGAUUCUCAGCCCCUACAAUCACAUGAGCCAAUUCCCAUAAAAUAUUCUCUUCUACAUCUACCUCUAUGCUAUUGGUUUUAUUUCUUUGCUGAAGCCUAAUACAUAUCCAUGAACUGCACCUGGAAUGACUGGGCUUCGUUGGAAAGCUUUAUAUAAUGUCAGCUGGAUUUGCAGUCAUCUGGAGAUUCAGCCAAGCUGGAAUGUCCAAGAUGGCUCCUUCCCGUGACCUCAGAUUGGAGUGUUUCCUCUGCUGAAAAUGCUACCAGGUAAGGAAGCUGAGCUGCAGAGAGGGCCUCGGGAGGAACCUCAGCCCCCAGGAUUCAGGCUCUUGUGCGAUCCUCUCCCUCUCCGGUCCUGGGCACCACCUGAAAGAAGCAAUCCGUGGGAUUUCCAAGGUUAGCACAUGAAAAAGCCUCGACCCUUCCACCUGUUUCUUCUGAAAUGCUCAUUCUGUGGAAAGCCAGCCGCAUGCUAGAAGUCUAAGCCCAGCACGCACUGAGGAGGCCCAAGUUAGCCAAAUGGAGGAAGAGAGAAACGUGCUAAGCAAACCACCAGAGAUUUCAGCCACUUCAGCCCAGGGAACCAGACAGAGAAAUGAA